This 440-nucleotide ribosomal RNA is filed under the name uncultured bacterium. RNAcentral's name for it is "partial 16S ribosomal RNA". It matches the Rfam family "Bacterial small subunit ribosomal RNA", at positions 338 to 795 of the family's 1533-position model. The record is from RNAcentral.
CCUACGGGAGGCAGCAGUGGGGGAUAUUGCACAAUGGGGGAAACCCUGAUGCAGCGACGCCGCGUGUGGGAAGACGGUCCUCUGGAUUGUAAACCACUGUCCCCAGGGACGAAGAUGACGGUACCUGGGGAGGAAGCUCCGGCUAACUACGUGCCAGCAACCGCGGUAAUACGUAGGGAGCAAGCGUUGUCCGGAAUUACUGGGUGUAAAGGGAGGGUAGGCGGGGAUGCAAGUUGGGUGUCAAAACUACCGGCUCAACUGGGAGUCGCACUGAAAACUGCAGCUCUUGAGUGAAGUAGAGGCAGGCGGAAAUCCUAGUGUAGCGGUGAAAUGCGUAGAUAUUAGGAGGAACACCAGUGGCGAAGGCGGCCUGCUGGGCUUUUACUGACGCUGAGGCUCGAAAGUGUGGGGAGCAAACAGGAUUAGAUACCCGGGUAGUC